This 408-nucleotide ribosomal RNA is filed under the name uncultured bacterium. RNAcentral's name for it is "partial 16S ribosomal RNA". It matches the Rfam family "Bacterial small subunit ribosomal RNA", at positions 28 to 526 of the family's 1533-position model. The record is from RNAcentral.
GACGAACGCUGGCGGCGUGCUUAACACAUGCAAGUCGAACGAAGUGGCGAACGGGGGAGUAAUACGUGAGUAACCUGCCCUCCUUUUUGGGAUAAGCCUUGGAAACGGGGUCUAAUACCGAAUAAAGGGGGAUGGGCUCGCGGCCUAUCAGCUUGUUGGUGGGGUCAGGGCCUACCAGGGCGGUGACGGGUAGCCGGCCUGAGAGGGUGAACGGCGAACUUGGAAAUGAGAAAGGGCCCAGCAUACUACGGGAGGCAGGAGUGGGGGAUAUUGCGCAAAGGGUGAAAGCCUGAGGCAGCGACGUCGCGUGGGGGAUGUAGGCUUUCGGGUUGUAAACGUCUGUCGCUAUGGAAUGGUUAGGUGGAGAAGAAGCGCCGGCUAACUACGUGCCAGCAGCCGCGGUAAUUC